RNAcentral lists this ribosomal RNA (228 nucleotides) under Triticum aestivum (bread wheat). Its description in RNAcentral is "partial small subunit ribosomal RNA". Lineage: Eukaryota; Viridiplantae; Streptophyta; Magnoliopsida; Poales; Poaceae. The record is from RNAcentral.
AUGGAGAAUAGCGCCGGCUUCCUCCUUCCAGAUCUUUGCAUAGCUCGUCCUCCUGGCCGACCUCGCAUGUGCGCCGCCACCUUGCUGCCAUCCCGGCGAGCGUUCCGACAGCCGCCGCUUGCCUCUUCAUUCUCCGCCUCCGCCUGCUUCCGUGACGUCGCCUCCAAUAUUCGUUUUAGAACCUCUCCGGAUCUCCCAAUAUUUUUCAGGUUUCUUGGACUUAGAUAA